GACGAACGCUGGCGGCGUACUUAACACAUGCAAGUCGAACGAUGAAGCUGGAGCUUGCUCCGGUGGAUUAGUGGCGAACGGGUGAGUAACACGUGAGUAAUCUGCCCUUGACUCUGGGAUAACUGCGGGAAACUGUAGCUAAUACCGGAUACGACACCUUCGGGCAUCCGAUGGGUGUGGAAAGAAUUUCGGUCAAGGAUGAACUCGCGGCCUAUCAGCUAGUUGGUGAGGUAAUGGCUCACCAAGGCGACGACGGGUAGCCGGCCUGAGAGGGUGACCGGCCACACUGGGACUGAGACACGGCCCAGACUCCUACGGGAGGCAGCAGUGGGGAAUAUUGCACAAUGGGCGAAAGCCUGAUGCAGCAACGCCGCGUGAGGGAUGAAGGCCUUCGGGUUGUAAACCUCUUUUAGUUGGGAAGAAGCGAAAGUGACGGUACCAACAGAAAAAGCACCGGCUAACUACGUGCCAGCAGCCGCGGUAA
RNAcentral lists this ribosomal RNA (484 nucleotides) under uncultured bacterium. Its description in RNAcentral is "partial 16S ribosomal RNA". It matches the Rfam family "Bacterial small subunit ribosomal RNA", at positions 28 to 523 of the family's 1533-position model. The record is from RNAcentral.